This 531-nucleotide ribosomal RNA is filed under the name uncultured bacterium. RNAcentral's name for it is "bacterial SSU rRNA". It matches the Rfam family "Bacterial small subunit ribosomal RNA", at positions 770 to 1314 of the family's 1533-position model. The record is from RNAcentral.
ACUCAAUAGAUACCCUGGUAGUCCACGCCGUAAACGAUGGAUGCUAGCUGUUAUAGGUAUCGACCCCUGUAGUAGCGAAAGCUAACGCGUUAAGCAUCCCGCCUGUGGAGUACGGUCGCAAGACUAAAACAUAAAGGAAUUGACGGGGACCCGGCACAAGCGGUGGAGCGUGUUGUUUAAUUCGAUGGUAAACGAAGAACCUUACCCAGGUUUGACAUCCUUGGAAUUUCUCCGAAAGGAGAGAGUGCUUUAUUGAGCCAAGUGACAGGUGAUGCAUGGCCGUCGUCAGCUCGUGUCGUGAGAUGUUUGGUUAAGUCCAUCAACGAGCGCAACCCUUGUGAUUAGUUGAAUUUUUCUAAUCAGACUGCCCUGGUAACAGGGAGGAAGGAGGGGAUGAUGUCAGGUCAGUAUUUCCCUUACAUCUGGGGCUACAAACACGCUACAAUGGCCGGUACAAAGGGCAGCCAAGUCGCGAGACGGAGCAAAUCCCAUCAAAGCCCGGUCUCAGUUCGGAUUGCAGGCUGAAACUCG